GACGAACGCUGGCGGCGUGCUUAACACAUGCAAGUCGAACGGAAAGGCCCCUUUGGGGGUACUCGAGUGGCGAACGGGUGAGUAACACGUGAGUAACCUGCCCUUGACUUCGGGAUAACUUCAGGAAACUGGGGCUAAUACCGGAUAGGAAUCCUUGCUGCAUGGUGGGGGUUGGAAAGCUUCGGCGGUUUUGGAUGGACUCGCGGCUUAUCAGCUUGUUGGUGGGGUAGUGGCUUACCAAGGCUUUGACGGGUAGCCGGCCUGAGAGGGCGACCGGCCACAUUGGGACUGAGAUACGGCCCAGACGCCUACGGGAGGCAGCAGUGGGGAAUAUUGCACAAUGGGCGGAAGCCUGAUGCAGCAACGCCGCGUGCGGGAUGACGGCCUUCGGGUUGUAAACCGAUUUCAGCAGGGGCGAAGCUUGUGGUGACGGUACCUGCAGAAGAAGCACCGGCUAACUACGUG
This 465-nucleotide ribosomal RNA is filed under the name uncultured bacterium. RNAcentral describes it as "partial 16S ribosomal RNA". It matches the Rfam family "Bacterial small subunit ribosomal RNA", at positions 28 to 507 of the family's 1533-position model. The record is from RNAcentral.